This 2336-nucleotide long non-coding RNA is filed under the name Citrus maxima (pomelo). Its description in RNAcentral is "long non-coding RNA (CMAX_LNC004186)". The record is from RNAcentral. Lineage: Eukaryota; Viridiplantae; Streptophyta; Magnoliopsida; Sapindales; Rutaceae.
AGCAAUAUAGGGGGACUUUUAUUUAUUUUUCAAAAUCUUUCAUUUGAUGACAAACAACAUUAUUGUCUCUUGCACUUUUCCACUUCAUAUUAUUAAGUGCUUUCAAAUUAUUUAUUAUGAUUCUCAGUCAAAUCUGUACCAUUUUGGCAGGAAUGAUAUUAGAUAUGAGGUAGCUUCGUUCUUACAUUUUUAUGAUGAUGAAAUCAGACAUGCUAAUUCUUAAUGAAAGUUUAUGGACAAUGAGGCAACAGUUUCAUGAACUUGAUGUAGAUCAAACACUUGGCUCUUCUCACAAGUUACAAUAGAUUAAGACAGCAGCUCUACAGGCGGAGUGGGAAGAAGACUGCAGGCUAUAUAUAGAAAAUUAAUACAAUCGGAUGUUUAUACUGCCUCAAAAGUCAAAACUAGCCAUCUUGAAUACAAUCAUCUUUGGAUGCCUGAAGAAUGAAUAUUUUGAUUCUAUCCAGCAUUCUAUAUCAUACUCUUCCUAAGUUCCAUUACUUUUUGAGCUUCCAAACUUUACCACCAUAAUCUGAUAUAAAAUAAACAAUCAGCAAAAGUGCUAGAAAAUUCAACGAGUUAUAGUUAUCCAACCAAGAUGAUAUAAAGAAAAAAAUUCAAGCAGCUUGAAAUGAGAUGGCCAAGCAAAAAUCCUCAGAAAAAUAUCAGUGAAAUUUUCUCUUGAAAAGCAUCUGGUUAUGCAACCAACAUAAUUUUCCUUUCCACAGUGAACUAAGUUCCACCUAAAGCAUCAGAUGCAAUACUUUAUGAUUUAAAAAUAUGAAUGUUUUUACAGAAGUUUAGAUCCUCAAUUCUGACUCAAUAAUUUUGAGCUUCUCACAAAUUCUAAAAUGCUGCAAGGUAAAACGCAUAAAGCAGAAGCAAUAAUGGGGGGAUUAUACCUUAGAUUGUCUCAAAAGAGUUGCUAGAACCACUAUUCAGUCUUUGAAUUUUACAGAGCACAUAUGGACUAGAAGGAAUUCUGCAUCCAACCGGCUCCACAGUGUACCCAUUUGAAGCUGGAAUAUUAUGAAAGAUAAUUCAGUCAAUGAAGAAAUGCCAAGGUAUAUGAACCAUUAUAUCCCUCGUGGAAUAUAAUAGUAAUGAAAUUACAGAGAGCUGAAAGCUUUAAAAGUGAGAUAUCUCACCAGUGUCUAGUUCAAAGAAAAAUUUAUGUUAAUGUUAUAACUCUCUAUGAAUCCAGUCAAGAGUAAAAAGGAAGUUAUAAAAUACCUAACCAUCUUGACUCAAGUACUUUUUAGAAACUUUUGCGAACAAAAUAUUUACACUAUCAGCUUUGAAACGAAAAAUAAAAAACAUUCCAAGAGAAAACAUCACAUUUUAGACACUGAUUGAACUUGCUGGGUAUCUCAUUGAACUUUCCUUGUGUUAAUUGUGAACUUUUAACAUAUUUAAUUCUUCCUUGAAUCUUCUCAGUCACAUCAAGGAGUGCUUCCAAGGCAUCUUGAAUGAUCAAUUUCAGAACAUGUGUGGCAGAGCGGACAUCAAACAAUUGGCCGAUCCUACAUCUUCAAACCUUAAUGCAUGUAGGUACAUCUAACCUAAGAACUCACUCUGCUUUCAAUUUCAGAAACUGGAUACAUUACAUCUAACGAUUGCCUACAAGUGAGAGGCCAUUUUCAUGUACUAAUGAUCGGAAAUUUUUAAUUCCCCAAAUUCGAUCCUCUACAAUCAAUUUCAGUCUUAAGUGCUGCUUAAAGAUCAAUGUCGAGAUUUUUCCGUGAAAACCUAAUCACUGGUUGGAAAAUUUUGUAACUCACGCUCAGUUAACAGCUCCUAAUUCAAUACAUGAACAGUUGUAAAUUUUUUUUUUUUUUAAAAGAACCUAUAUCUGCCAUGAAAAUUCAAUAGCUAUAGUAUCAAACUCAAGGAGAGUGUUGUCAUAACUUUCUUGAUCGACAUCACAACAGUAACAUAUCAAAGCCAAAAUACAAAUUCCAAAAUCCAAUACUAAAACCCUAACUCUUCCAACAAUUAUGCAUAACAAUAACUCAAGCACUAGGCCAUAGAAAUGAAAAAUUAAGAGACAUUAACUUUUGAAAAUCCAUCAGAAGUCAAAUAAAAAGAUCAUUUGACGGAUUCCUAUACCGUAGUUGCCGAGUUAUCAUCUGUCCAUAGAUCGCUCUAUUGCUGUUUCUUCUGCAAUGACUUCCGCUCGAGUUCCCGCCACUUGUUGAUUGUAGCUGUGCAGAUAAAUCCGACGCCGAAGAAAUAGAGCAAUCGAAGAACCUUUGUGCCAGUGGGGCCCGUCGUCAUCUAUUCUCUGCGGUGUGCGUGUUAAUUAGCCACGUCGUCAUUUUCUUAGGGAUUGCUCG